GAUGAAGAACGUAGUGAAAUGCGAUAAGUAAUGUGAAUUGCAGAAUUCAGUGAAUCAUCGAAUCUUUGAACGCACAUUGCGCCCCCUGGUAUUCCGGGGGGCAUGCCUGUCCGAGCGUCAUUACAACCCUCAAGCUCAGCUUGGUGUUGGGCCCCGCCGCCCCGGCGGGCCCUAAAGUCAGUGGCGGUGCCGUCCGGCUCCGAGCGUAGUAAUUCUUCUCGCUCUGGAGGUCCGGUCGUGUGCUCGCCAGCAACCCCCAAUUUUUUUCAGGUUGACCUCGCAUCAGGUAGGGAUACCCGCUGAACUUAAGCAUAUCAAUAAGCGGAGGA
RNAcentral lists this unclassified non-coding RNA (329 nucleotides) under soil metagenome. Its description in RNAcentral is "partial contains 5.8S ribosomal RNA, internal transcribed spacer 2, and large subunit ribosomal RNA". The stretch from base 1 to 120 matches the Rfam family "5.8S ribosomal RNA", at positions 35 to 154 of the family's 154-position model. The record is from RNAcentral.